CGUCUCAGUUCAGAUUGCAGGCUGCAACUCGCCUGCAUGAAGUCGGAAUUGCUAGUAAUCGCAGAUCAGCAUGCUGCGGUGAAUACGUUCCCGGGCCUUGUACACACCGCCCGUCACACCAUGGGAGUCGGGAACACCCGAAGUCCGUAGCCUAACCGCAAGGAGGGCGCGGCCGAAGGUGGGUUCGAUAAUUGGGGUGAAGUCGUAACAAGGUAUC
This 217-nucleotide ribosomal RNA is filed under the name uncultured bacterium. Its description in RNAcentral is "partial 16S ribosomal RNA". It matches the Rfam family "Bacterial small subunit ribosomal RNA", at positions 1284 to 1500 of the family's 1533-position model. The record is from RNAcentral.